CCUACGGGAGGCUGCAGUGGGGAAUAUUGCACAAUGGGGGGAACCCUGAUGCAGCGACGCCGCGUGAGUGAAGAAGGAUUUCGGUAUGGAAAGCUCUAUCAGCAGGGAAGAAAAGGACGGUACCUGACGAAGAAGGCCCGGCUAACUACGUGCCAGCAGCCGCGGGAAUACGUAGGGGGCAAGCGUUAUCCGGAUUUACUGGGUGUAAAGGGAGCGCAGACGGCUGUGCAAGUCUGGAGUGAAAGGCGGGGGCCCAACCCCCGGACUGCUCUGGAAACGGUAAAGCUGGAGUGCAGGAGAGGUAAGCGGAAUUCCUCGUGUAGCGGUGAAAUGCGUAGAUAUUAGGCGGAACCCCAGUGGCGAAGGCGGCUUACUGGACUGCAACUGACGUUGAGGCUC
This 399-nucleotide ribosomal RNA is filed under the name uncultured bacterium. RNAcentral's name for it is "partial 16S ribosomal RNA". It matches the Rfam family "Bacterial small subunit ribosomal RNA", at positions 338 to 754 of the family's 1533-position model. The record is from RNAcentral.